GCCUCAGUUGGCGGCCGAGGACGGUCGUGUACAGGUCGCCGCCAUCCGCUCCGGUAACCGCGCGCCACGCACCCGGCGCCACGCCACCCCACGCCAACGCGACAGUGGUGCACGCCCUCACCACCACGACCACACACCAGAGGUAACACCAAAGACUCCAAACAGUCCAUACAAAGUUGAGAACGACUUCACGCCAAACUACAAAAGUUUGACCAAAGCGCCGCGUCGCGAUGCAGGGCGGGGCGUGAAGGAGCGACGGAGGCGCCUGCCGCUCCAGGACGCCCGUGCAGGCCACCUUCUCGUGCUCCCGUGCCCACGACUAGCACACUAUACCCUGGCAGGGUCUCGGUGAUGCAGGGGACGCGGUGAGUGGCAGGUGAGGGUGAGGGUGGAGCGUCACCGCCUCACUUUGCCUCGUCGUGACUCAGUCUCGCCUCGCCCCGCUCCAGGUGAGGGUGCACUUCCAACACCUGCCACCCAGACACUUUUAAAGCGUUCAUCCUAUAUUUUUAAUGAUAAGAAUCUGAUUUCAAUAUUUUUGUACAAACUUUAGGAAAUUGUUGCAAGAAAACCUUUUGACCUACAAAACUUUUUGCUACAUCUGACAUGUGAGCUGGAGCAGCCACUCUGAACGGUCCCUCUUGAGCCCUGGCGGCGAUGACGCUCGACUUGACACAGUGAUAAAUGAUGCACACCGCACACACUCACCGUCUCCUGCCGGCGGCCGCGACGCUCCGCGCGCACCACACAUGCUCUCGGGCGUGAGCAGUAAAACCACUGACUGAUCCCAACGAUCGGAGGAAAGCAUGGAGUGAGAGUCCUUGGGGCGUGAUCAAACCAAGACAACCACACUACCUAAGCCUUCCACCGUGUUGGCGUGCAAUCGUGCGGGGCCCUCCUCCUCUUAGCCUUCCUCUGCUCCUCUCCGCCGCCACCAUGGAGCUCAUAGCAGAACCCAUUCUGGAUCUGGAGAGCUCGGCGAACGCCACCUCCGUGCUGACUGCGGCACACGAUUGGUGGAACAACACCGACGUGAACCUUGACGUGCACAUGAACUGUUCACGGACCUUCUGCCCCACCGAUAACUUCACCAACGGCACGUGCGUGGAAUGUCUGCCGGACGACGUGGGCAACAAGUACAACCUGCCGUGGUGGAACGAACUCAUCUGGUACGUGGUGUUCAUGGGCAUGGUGAUAGUGGCGACGGGGGGGAACACCAUCGUCAUUUGGAUAGUGCUGGCGGACCAACGCAUGCGCACCGUCACCAACAUCUUCCUGGUGAACCUCUCGGUGGCCGACGCGAUGGUCUCCACCCUCAAUGUGGUCUUCAACUUUACCUACAUGCUCAACCUCAACUGGCGCUUCGGCUUCGUCUACUGUAAGAUCAGCCAGUUCGUGUCUAUCCUGUCUAUCUGCGCCUCAGUCUUCACCCUCAUGGCCAUCUCCUUCGACAGAUACAUUGCCAUCAUGCACCCGCUCCGGCCACGCAUGGGGAGGAAAGCCACCAUCCUCAUCGUGGUGUGGAUAUGGGUCUCGUCCGUCUGCCUCUCGCUUCCUAAUCUCAUCUACUUCACCACCGCCACUCUCAGCUACGCCGGCGGGGAGAGGAUUGUCUGCUACGCCGCCUGGCCGGAUGGGGACCAGGGCGAGAGUCAAUCUGAAUACGUACACACAGUGGUGCUGAUGGUGCUGACUUAUAUCCUGCCGCUCACGUGCAUGGGCUUCACCUAUGUGCGCAUCGGGCUUACGUUGUGGGGCAGCCGUAGUAUCGGAGAGCAGACGCCCCGACAGGUGGAGAGCAUCAAGUCCAAGAGGAAGGUGGUAAAGAUGAUGAUCGUGGUGGUGACAAUCUUCGCUGUGUGUUGGCUGCCCUACCAUAUGUACUUCAUCCUCUCCAACUUGAUGCCGGAGAUUGCCCACUACGAGUUUAUCCAAGAGACUUAUCUGGCUAUUUACUGGCUAGCUAUGUCCAACUCUAUGUACAACCCAAUGAUUUAUUGCUGGCUCAACAACAGGUUCCGCAACGGGUUCAAGAAGGUGUUCUCGGGGUGGCUGCCGUGUGUCACCUACGAGGGCGAGGCCACUGAUGUGAGCCGCGUCAAGACGGCGCGCUUCUCCUGCUCUGGCUCGCCCGAGACUCACCAUCGAGUGACGUGCGAUGGGACCAGAUCUUCUCGAACCUCCUUCAGUUUUGUGUGAGGUAUCUGGACCACCCCAACACAACCACCUCUCCCUCCAACACCACACCCGCUCCUCGCACAUCUCCAUGCGCAACCUCGCCUCCUCAGACCUCAGCAUCAGCGGCUCGCGGCUUCCCCCAGUCAGGCUUUGCAACGGAGCCAACAUACGCAGAGCGACCAACGGCGCCGACACCUCCCGGAGCUACGG
RNAcentral lists this unclassified non-coding RNA (2388 nucleotides) under Portunus trituberculatus (swimming crab). RNAcentral's name for it is "tachykinin-like peptides receptor 99D, transcript variant X3". Lineage: Eukaryota; Metazoa; Arthropoda; Malacostraca; Decapoda; Portunidae. The record is from RNAcentral.